UUCUACAGCCAUGCCACCCUGAAAAAGCCCGAUCCUGUCUGAUCUCAGAAGCUAAGCAGCGUCGAGCCUGGUUAGUACUUGAAUGGGAGACCACCUAGGAAGACCAGGUGCUGUAGGUG
This is a non-coding RNA of Pteropus alecto (black flying fox), 119 nucleotides long. The record is from Rfam. Lineage: Eukaryota; Metazoa; Chordata; Mammalia; Chiroptera; Pteropodidae.